CACUGGGGCGACGCCGGCGCCUGCUCCGGCGACCGGCGCGCCACCCCGCCGCCGGGAAGGGGUCUCCUUCGGUCCUCCCCCUCGCUUCCCCUCAGGCAGCGCCUCCCCCGCCGUCGCCCCCGGCUACCUUGCAGGCCGGCACCCCCUGCUGCUUGGAGGCUAGCGCCCUGUGCAGCCUUGCUCGCUGCUCCCUAAUUCUGCCUGAACCGCUGAUGAAGGAGUGAAGAUAACUGUCUUGUCAUAUUCAUUGAGCGGGAUAUUUCUUUGAGGUGGAUGGAAAUGACAUAAUCGAGACUUUCAUGAGCAUUAGAAAUCGUAGACUAGAUAAAUAGCUUUUUUUGUUCAUAUGAACUAGUAUAUUUUAAGUAUUUGUAUUAUAAUUUAUGCAAUUUUGGUAUUUAACUGUUGAAUUUAAGAUUUGGAAUGUAAUUUAUGUGCUUGGUAACCGAA
This is a long non-coding RNA of Panicum virgatum (switchgrass), 450 nucleotides long. RefSeq lists it as uncharacterized. The transcript is spliced from 3 exons. The record is from RefSeq and is a predicted model, not a curated record. NCBI's taxonomy places the organism in Eukaryota, Viridiplantae, Streptophyta, Magnoliopsida, Poales, Poaceae.